AGAGUUUGAUCCUGGCUCAGAUUGAACGCUGGCGGUAGGCUUAACACAUGCAAGUCGAGCGAGAAAGUCCUUCGGGGCGAGUACAGCGGCGGACGGGUGAGUAACGCGUAGGAAUCUACCUGGUAGUGGGGGACAACAUGUGGAAACGCAUGCUAAUACCGCAUACGCCCUGAGGGGGAAAGCGGGGGCCCCGUUUCUUUUAGGAGAGACGGACCUCGCGCUAUCAGAUGAGCCUGCGUUAGAUUAGCUAGUUGGUGGGGUAAAGGCUCACCAAGGCGACGAUCUAUAGCUGGUCUGAGAGGAUGAUCAGCCACACUGGGACUGAGACACGGCCCAGACUCCUACGGGAGGCAGCAGUGGGGAAUAUUGCGCAAUGGGGGAAACCCUGACGCAGCCAUACCGCGUGUGUGAAGAAGGCCCUAGGGUUGUAAAGCACUUUCAAUUGGGAGGAAAGGUUGCUGGUUAAUAGCCAGUAGCUGUGACGUUACCUUUAGAAGAAGCACCGCUAACU
Molecule: ribosomal RNA, 511 nt
Filed under: uncultured bacterium
Lineage: Bacteria
Description: bacterial SSU rRNA
Rfam family: Bacterial small subunit ribosomal RNA
Source: RNAcentral